CAGAUGUUGGAACACGCCCUCAACUUCAUUUGGCUUUUUUUAUAUAAAGUUCCAUAUAUAUAUGAAUGCAAAAUAUCUUUUGUAUAUUGUGUAUACGUACGUGUGCGCAACGUAACCUGUUCACGCACGUGUACAUGAGUCUGGAGAGUGGUUUGUAGCAUCUAAAAAAGCCCAUACGAUAAUAAGCCAAAGGUACGAACGAAGACAGUGAUAAAGGAAAAAAUAUGGAACCAAAGAGAUCCGGAUUCUUGAUACGACCUCUGUACUACGUAAUAAUGUCUGAAGGUGAAUUAGGAGAGAAAAAAUCAUCCAUCAUGGUUCGAGAUACACAUGAGGCCAUUGGAUUUUGAUGGACGGAUGAUGUUUUAGACUGAAGCUUUCUAUGGGUUCCAACAUCAUAGAAUUGAUGAACGUCUUUGCCUAAUUUAUUAUACCCAAAAUUGGAAGCAAAUUAUUUAUUUGGUGCUGAAUGAGACCCAAUUAUGGCUUGUUGAUGAUUACCAUUACUCCUGUAUGAGAAUAAUAAUUAUAAAAAUAGUUUCUCCAUCACAUGUUGAUGGUGCAUCCUGUCUCAUAUUCACUGAUGACACAGACUACAUAAUACCUCUUGGACUUAUCUACAAUGCAGAUACUUUUGAUGACAUACAAAGACGACGAGAUGUUAAGGACAGUGGAGAGAGAAAGGAUGAAGGACUAUAUAGAAGAUGAGGGGGUUAAGUUAGGGGUUAGAUAGGAUAGGGUGUGUCGUCAUGACUACGCAGCAGGAGGCGGAGCAAUCGAUAUACUCUCGCGGCUCACACACUGAGAGAAAUAAACUCUUCAAAAUUUCAUCAAGAUUAUUAAUAAAUAACUGGGUUAUUAAAGUAAAGCAACAAGUAUGCUGAAGUUCUUUCGAGAAAAAUUUCUUGGAAAAAAUUUGUGUAGAAUUUAUAAUUAAAUAUUUCCGCUAAUUUAUGGAGCAAGGAUUUUUGGAGUCAAAGGAUUUGAUUUAUUUCUUGAUAAAUUUCUAUGAAAAUUACUGGCACCUAAAUAGAGGUUCAUUGUUGGAAAUAUUCUUAAACAAUUGUGUGUAUAAUAAUCGUAGAGAAAAAAAAAUUAGUAUUCAUUGUUAUUGAUUAUGUUGUGGCAAAGGAGAA
This is a long non-coding RNA of Chelonus insularis, 1136 nucleotides long. RefSeq lists it as uncharacterized. The record is from RefSeq and is a predicted model, not a curated record. The transcript has 5 exons. NCBI's taxonomy places the organism in Eukaryota, Metazoa, Arthropoda, Insecta, Hymenoptera, Braconidae.